This is a small nuclear RNA of Heterocephalus glaber (naked mole-rat), 142 nucleotides long. Its record names the gene U4. It matches the Rfam family "U4 spliceosomal RNA". Rfam says of the family: U4 small nuclear RNA (U4 snRNA) is a component of the major U2-dependent spliceosome. Lineage: Eukaryota; Metazoa; Chordata; Mammalia; Rodentia; Bathyergidae. The record is from Ensembl.
AGCUUUGUGCAGUGGCAGUAUCGUACCCAAUGAGGGUUAUCCGAGGCGCGAUUAUUGCUAACAGAAAAUAAGUUAGCCCAGAGAAAUGCUUCUCUACAUCAUCUACAAAUCUGUAGAAAAUAAUUAGGAAUGCCCCAAUGCA